CAGAUUGAACGCUGGCGGCAGGCCUAACACAUGCAAGUCGAGCGGUAACAGAAAGUAGCUUGCUACUUUGCUGACGAGCGGCGGACGGGUGAGUAAUGCUUGGGAACAUGCCUUGAGGUGGGGGACAACAGUUGGAAACGACUGCUAAUACCGCAUAACGUCUACGGACCAAAGGGGGCUUCGGCUCUCGCCUUUAGAUUGGCCCAAGUGGGAUUAGCUAGUUGGUGAGGUAAUGGCUCACCAAGGCGACGAUCCCUAGCUGGUUUGAGAGGAUGAUCAGCCACACUGGGACUGAGACACGGCCCAGACUCCUACGGGAGGCAGCAGUGGGGAAUAUUGCACAAUGGGCGCAAGCCUGAUGCAGCCAUGCCGCGUGUGUGAAGAAGGCCUUCGGGUUGUAAAGCACUUUCAGUCAGGAGGAAAGGUUAGUAGUUAAUACCUGCUAGCUGUGACGUUACUGACAGAAGAAGCACCGGCUAACUCCGUGCCAGCAGCCGCGGUAAUACGGAGGGUGCGAGCGUUAAUCGGAAUUACUGGGCGUAAAGCGUACGCAGGCGGUUUGUUAAGCGAGAUGUGAAAGCCCCGGGCUCAACCUGGGAACUGCAUUUCGAACUGGCAAACUAGAGUGUGAUAGAGGGUGGUAGAAUUUCAGGUGUAGCGGUGAAAUGCGUAGAGAUCUGAAGGAAUACCGAUGGCGAAGGCAGCCACCUGGGUCAACACUGACGCUCAUGUACGAAAGCGUGGGGAGCAAACGGGAUUAGAUACCCCGGUAGUCCACGCCGUAAACGAUGU
This 792-nucleotide ribosomal RNA is filed under the name uncultured Pseudoalteromonas sp. RNAcentral's name for it is "bacterial SSU rRNA". It matches the Rfam family "Bacterial small subunit ribosomal RNA", at positions 25 to 812 of the family's 1533-position model. The record is from RNAcentral. Lineage: Bacteria; Pseudomonadati; Pseudomonadota; Gammaproteobacteria; Alteromonadales; Pseudoalteromonadaceae.